RNAcentral lists this non-coding RNA (135 nucleotides) under Erwinia pyrifoliae. Its description in RNAcentral is "Hfq-regulated sRNA 21". It matches the Rfam family "Hfq-regulated sRNA 21". Lineage: Bacteria; Pseudomonadati; Pseudomonadota; Gammaproteobacteria; Enterobacterales; Erwiniaceae. The record is from Rfam by way of RNAcentral.
AGAUUAUCCAAAACUAUCUGGUAUUGGCUACUAUGUAAGCCAUGUUCAGACCGGAUCGUGUCAUGAUCAUGAUACUCAUCAGGAUGGUGCCAACCCGCCCGGCAUGCGCCCGUCACUCUGUACCCUGCACACAAU